The submitters of this non-coding RNA (64 nucleotides) gave its source as unclassified sequences. The record is from Rfam.
CACAGAGUAGGCGGCAUUGCCGUUUAAUGUGGCGACAGAAAUUCUGUCACAGUUGCAAGCCUGA